Molecule: ribosomal RNA, 505 nt
Filed under: uncultured bacterium
Lineage: Bacteria
Description: partial 16S ribosomal RNA
Rfam family: Bacterial small subunit ribosomal RNA
Source: RNAcentral
GACGAACGCUGGCGGCGUGCCUAAUACAUGCAAGUAGAACGCACAGUUUAUACCGUAGCUUGCUACACCAUAGACUGUGAGUUGCGAACGGGUGAGUAACGCGUAGGUAACCCGCCUGGUAGCGGGGGGUAACUAUUGGAAACGAUAGCUAAUACCGCAUAAUAUUGAUUAUUGCAUGAUAAUUAAUUGAAAGGUGCAAUUGCACCACUACCAGAUGGACCUGCGUUGUAUUAGCUAGUAGGUGAGGUAACGGCUCACCUAGGCGACGAUACAUAGCCGACCUGAGAGGGUGAUCGGCCACACUGGGACUGAGACACGUCCCAGACUCCUACGGGAGGCAGCAGUAGGGAAUCUUCGGCAAUGGACGAAAGGCUGACCGAGCAACGCCGCGUGAGUGAAGAAGGUUUUCGGAUCGUAAAGCUCUGUUGUAAGAGAAGAACGGGUGUGAGAGUGGAAAGUUCACACUGUGACGGUAUCUUACCAGAAAGGGACGGCUAACUACGUG